CCCGCUCAGUACCUCGUGGUCCGGCGUCGGGGCUCGGCGGUGGCGGCGGGCGUGAGUUCCUCUGGUUCCUCAGCACCCUCGGGCCGGGCUGGAGCCGGCCCAGGAAGGUCGUUUCCCCUGCAGUUUACAAAUGUUCCUGUUUCUGAAAAUUUGGCCGUUGUCUACAAACUUUCUCAGAGCUGUCCACGCUGGCCCUUGAGUGUUCCAUUUUUAUCAGCCAUGGCAGGCCGGUUUUGUAGACAUGAAUAAGGAGCCCCCACACACCAGUCCUGAAGAUGCCAGGACCAGCAGAAAUGAAGGCAAACACAAACAAACAGGGGAAAAAGAGCAAAGCCAGAAACACCACCGACCCCAACAUAGAUCAACAUCUUUCUCUUCAGAUGACCGUGUAUUUCCCUCUUCUUCUUCGUCUUCUGAAAGCGAGACAGAUUCAAGUACUAACGAUUGUACCAACAGAAAAGUUAAGACAAAGAGAGGACCAAAAAGGAAUAAGAGGAGAAAAGAAAGAAAGGACAAAAGAUGAAACAUCAAGAAAAAGAAAAAGAAGGAAAAAAGAAGGAAACAACCACAUGAUAUCAUCUUUCCAAGAGGGUCUGAAACCAGGCUAAACUUCUGGAUUUCCAAAACUCAGCCUUUUGGUUUAAGGUGGCCAAUGAGGAUGCAGAGCCCAGCACUGUGAAAGCACAGAAACACUGCAGAGCUGGGGGAAGGUGUCUUUCACACCACGUCUAGACUCCUGACAACAGUCUUCACAUCCUCUGUAACCACGCAAUAAAGAGUUGGGAAGUCACAUUUUACUUGCAAAGGUCCGCAUCCAUCACGCGAGAGCCUGAAGUUCAAGCCGGUGGUGGCAAUGGCUAAUUGAAAUAGAGCACGUACUUUCUGGAGGCGAGACUGACAGCACAGACGGAGGU
Long non-coding RNA from Eptesicus fuscus (big brown bat), 914 nucleotides. RefSeq lists it as uncharacterized. The transcript has 8 exons. The record is from RefSeq and is a predicted model, not a curated record. NCBI's taxonomy places the organism in Eukaryota, Metazoa, Chordata, Mammalia, Chiroptera, Vespertilionidae.